GAGAUGUUAAUUAAAUCAUAAUAAUGCCUUGUCAAGACAUAAUUAUAGGCUAAAUCCCUGUACAUCUCC
Molecule: transfer RNA, 69 nt
Filed under: Microhyla mixtura
Lineage: Eukaryota; Metazoa; Chordata; Amphibia; Anura; Microhylidae
Description: tRNA-Asp
Source: RNAcentral